UACGUAGGUGGCAAGCGUUGUCCGGAUUUACUGGGCGUAAAGGAUGCGUAGGCGGAUGUUUAAGUGAGAUGUGAAAUACCCGAGCUCAACUUGGGUGCUGCAUUUCAAACUGGGUAUCUAGAGUGCAGGAGAGGAAAGCGGAAUUCCUAGUGUAGCGGUGAAAUGCGUAGAGAUUAGGAAGAACACCAGUGGCGAAGGCGGCUUUCUGGACUGUAACUGACGCUGAGGCAUGAAAGCGUGGGGAGCAAACAGG
RNAcentral lists this ribosomal RNA (253 nucleotides) under uncultured bacterium. RNAcentral describes it as "partial 16S ribosomal RNA". It matches the Rfam family "Bacterial small subunit ribosomal RNA", at positions 524 to 776 of the family's 1533-position model. The record is from RNAcentral.